RNAcentral lists this ribosomal RNA (497 nucleotides) under uncultured bacterium. RNAcentral describes it as "partial 16S ribosomal RNA". It matches the Rfam family "Bacterial small subunit ribosomal RNA", at positions 28 to 507 of the family's 1533-position model. The record is from RNAcentral.
GAUGAACGCUGGCGGCGUGCCUAAUACAUGCAAGUCGAGCGAACAGACGAGGAGCUUGCUCCUCUGACGUUAGCGGCGGACGGGUGAGUAACACGUGGAUAACCUACCUAUAAGACUGGGAUAACUUCGGGAAACCGGAGCUAAUACCGGAUAAUAUAUUGAACCGCAUGGUUCAAUAGUGAAAGACGGUUUUGCUGUCACUUAUAGAUGGAUCCGCGCCGCAUUAGCUAGUUGGUAAGGUAACGGCUUACCAAGGCAACGAUGCGUAGCCGACCUGGGAGGGUGAUCGGCCACACUGGAACUGAGACACGGUCCAGACUCCUUCGGGAGGCAGCAGUAGGGAAUCUUCCGCAAUGGGCGAAAGCUUGACGGAGCAACGCCGCGUGAGUGAUGAAGGUCUUCGGAUCGUAAAACUCUGUUAUUAGGGAAGAACAAAUGUGUAAGUAACUAUGCACGUCUUGACGGUACCUAAUCAGAAAGCCACGGCUAACUACGUG